GACUCCGUAGCUCAGUUGGUAGAGCAGCUGACUCUUAAUCAGCGGGUCCACAGUUCGAGCCUGUGCGGGGUCACUA
This 76-nucleotide transfer RNA is filed under the name Chitinophaga parva. RNAcentral's name for it is "tRNA-Lys". It matches the Rfam family "tRNA". Rfam says of the family: Transfer RNA (tRNA) molecules are approximately 80 nucleotides in length. Their secondary structure includes four short double-helical elements and three loops (D, anti-codon, and T loops). The record is from RNAcentral. Lineage: Bacteria; Pseudomonadati; Bacteroidota; Chitinophagia; Chitinophagales; Chitinophagaceae.